RNAcentral lists this ribosomal RNA (108 nucleotides) under Sorex araneus (European shrew). The record is from RNAcentral. Lineage: Eukaryota; Metazoa; Chordata; Mammalia; Eulipotyphla; Soricidae.
UCCAGUCCAUACCACCUGAAUGCGCCUGAUCUCGUCUGAUCUUGGAAGCUAAGCAGGGUCAGGCCUGGUUAGUACUUGAGUGGAUUUUUAAGAAUGCAGAUAGUGGAC